Molecule: ribosomal RNA, 409 nt
Filed under: bacterium
Lineage: Bacteria
Description: partial 16S ribosomal RNA
Rfam family: Bacterial small subunit ribosomal RNA
Source: RNAcentral
UGGGGAAUAUUGCACAAUGGGCGAAAGCCUGAUGCAGCGACGCCGCGUGAGGGAUGACGGCCUUCGGGUUGUAAACCUCUUUCAGCAGGGACGAAGCGCAAGUGACGGUACCUCCAGAAGAAGCACCGGCUAACUACGUGCCAGCAGCCGCGGUAAUACGUAGGGUGCAAGCGUUGUCCGGAAUUACUGGGCGUAAAGAGUUCGUAGGCGGUUUGUCGCGUCGUUUGUGAAAACCAGCAGCUCAACUGCUGGCUUGCAGGCGAUACGGGAAGACUUGAGUACUGCAGGGGAGACUAGAAUUCCUGGUGUAGCGGUGAAAUGCGCAGAUAUCAGGAGGAACACCGGUGGCGAAGGCGGAUCUCUGGGCAGUAACUGACGCUGAGGAACGAAAGCGUGGGUAGCGAACAGG